This 253-nucleotide ribosomal RNA is filed under the name uncultured bacterium. Its description in RNAcentral is "partial 16S ribosomal RNA". It matches the Rfam family "Bacterial small subunit ribosomal RNA", at positions 524 to 776 of the family's 1533-position model. The record is from RNAcentral.
UACGAAGGGGGCUAGCGUUGUUCGGAUUUACUGGGCGUAAAGCGCACGUAGGCGGUUCGUUAAGUCGGGGGUGAAAUCCUGGAGCUCAACUCCAGAACUGCCUUCGAUACUGGCGAUCUCGAGUCCGGAAGAGGUGAGUGGAACUCCGAGUGUAGAGGUGGAAUUCGUAGAUAUUAGGAAGAACACCAGUGGCGAAGGCGACUCACUGGUCCGGUACUGACGCUGAGGUGCGAAAGCGUGGGGAGCAAACAGG